UACCGGGUAAAAGGAUUUCUUGUUUUUACGAAGUGACGGAUAAGCAGCCGUCAAUACGUGAAAACAAACGAAUACGCUUUGCACUCAGAAGUUUUUUCACGAAGUGACGGAAGGCAAAUAUUUACAGUUUGGAACAGGCGAAGACCAUGAAAUGAUGCAGUAUAUACAAUAAACGAUGUUUCAGAGAACAAACGAGAGAAGUCCUGGAACUGGUACACUUGCUAUUUAACAAUGCUGAUGGUCAGAUACAGUUCCAGGUUGGAUCCAGGGGCCGACACGCUUGUCAGAUGGGUCAUUGAUAAUUCCCUGAACACCGCAGAUGUGAUCUGAUUUGGUGACAUGACAGUUGAAUCGGUAGUGACUGGAUUUUAAUAGUGUGCCCUGGUUUUGAACUGUUGAAGUAACCAAACUAGAAACAUCUUCUGAGAACUCCAGACUGCAAUUCUGAUGAUGAAACUCUGUCUACACUUGUGAAAAAUGUGAAGGAGUUGGCUCUGCCCCAUGGUCUUUCCGGGAUCAGGGCUCUCAUAUAAUUUCUUCUUUAUUUUCUAGCUGGGUAACUGAUACCAAUAUUAAUUUUCUUGUGAUUUUGACUUCGACAUAAGUUUAGUUUUAAUAUUGAUAGCACUUUCAAAUCUGGUUUCAGCUUUAGAGCAGUGUAUUAUAUAAUGAAACUGUACUGCUUCAACUAGUUUGUGCUUUUAUAGUGAUAUAAUUAUGAAGUCCUUUAAAUAUAUUUUAUAUAUACAGUCAAAUAUAAAGUUCAGAAUAGUCACUUAUCUGCUAUACUUACAUGUGUAAAUUGCUUAUACAAAUCGUCCACAUAUGGAUGCAAAAGAAU
Molecule: long non-coding RNA, 841 nt
Organism: Lytechinus variegatus (green sea urchin)
Lineage: Eukaryota; Metazoa; Echinodermata; Echinoidea; Temnopleuroida; Toxopneustidae
Exons: 3
Source: RefSeq, a predicted model, not a curated record